This 1139-nucleotide long non-coding RNA is filed under the name Strigops habroptila (Kakapo). RNAcentral describes it as "lncRNA (ENSSHBG00005001469.1)". The record is from RNAcentral. Lineage: Eukaryota; Metazoa; Chordata; Aves; Psittaciformes; Psittacidae.
UUUCAUAGAAUCAUACCAUUUAAUAUGAAUGUGUCAGAUUUCAUUGUACACUUCAAAUGUUUUUAUUUUAUAUAAACACUUCUAUUGAAAAGCCAUUUUAGACCCCCACCCUUAACCCCAAGCCAUGAGAUACAAACUGAAUCUUUUAAUGCGCCAAAGAUUCUGCAGUUUCACACAGGAAAAAAAAAGUUUUGUCAAAAUGGUAUGCCAGAGAGGACUAUUUUUAUCCAUUCCCCCUGGUUGUGGUUUUUGAUUUAAGGAGUAUAAGUACACUUGAUGUCUCCACCAGUGGAGGGAUGCUGGAAAGGAAGGAGAAGGAUCUAUAUUUGUAUUUAGAAGAGAAACAGCAGCAUACAAAGGGGCAGUGCCUACGAGACACAAAUGCUGGUAAAAGGGCUUCUUCUCCCUGUUCUCUAUUAUAAAGUGGGAAACUUUCACACUGGAGCAGAUCUGGAUUCCAAUCAUACUCAAACCUCUCUCUUCAUCUGUGAAGAGCAACAUAGCCUUGGCUGGUUAUCUCAAUAUAACACUUCACAAAAGUUUUUAUGUAGCACUGAAACAUGCAAAAGGCACUUUAUCAUUAAGGAGGAAGACAGAGUCAUCAGCCCAGGGAGCUUGUAGUUUGACUCAUUCCUGUGGCUAGUGUAGUGAUGAACUAGGCUUAGGCUACAGCUUCAAUAUAAGCUGCAGAACUAGUCCUUGGCUCGAGGUAGGAGGAUUGGUGUCUCUCAAAUAUUCCUAAUAUAUAGGAACAUCAGGGCAACCUCAGUGAAUUCCGAGCAGAGGUUUAUCCACAAGAGUAUUUCAUCUGGGGCAGCCACGUAACAAAACCAGAGCCAGCACUUGCUGGUGAUGUGCUGAGGCCUCUACCAUCACCUGUGCAACACAGCAUCACAGGUACCAAAGCAGAGCAAUCCCUCUUCCUGAGAGACAGCUGAAAGCUUUUCUAAGGCUGCUCACAGAGCAAGCAUGGUCCAGCUUCUGCAUUUCAUGUCACAGCUUGCCUGUCAGAGGAGAGACAGACACAUCCAGGCUGCCACCCUCAUGUUCUCAGGGAUAGCCUGGACCUGUUCUCAGCUGUGUGCUUUUUCUUUUCCAAGCGUACAUGUUGGGGUAGGGGAGAAACAGUGGGUUUUCCC